GACGAACGCUGGCGGCGUGCUUAACACAUGCAAGUCGAGCGGUAAGGCCCUUUCGGGGGUACACGAGCGGCGAACGGGUGAGUAACACGUGGGUGACCUGCCCUCAGCUCUGGGAUAAGCCUGGGAAACCGGGUCUAAUACUGGAUAUGACUCCAUGACGCAUGUUGUGGGGUGGAAAGCCUUGUGCGGCUGAGGAUGGGCCCGCGGCCUAUCAGCUUGUUGGUGGGGUGANGGCCUACCAAGGCGACGACGGGUAGCCGGCCUGAGAGGGCGACCGGCCACACUGGGGACUGAGACACGGCCCAGACUCCUACGGGAGGCAGCAGUGGGGAAUCUUGCGCAAUGGGCGAAAGCCUGACGCAGCGACGCCGCGUGAGGGAUGAC
RNAcentral lists this ribosomal RNA (384 nucleotides) under uncultured bacterium. Its description in RNAcentral is "bacterial SSU rRNA". It matches the Rfam family "Bacterial small subunit ribosomal RNA", at positions 28 to 412 of the family's 1533-position model. The record is from RNAcentral.